AUUGAACGCUGGCGGCAUGCCUUACACAUGCAAGUCGAACGCGAAAGCGGGGGCAACCCUGCCGGUAGAGUGGCGAACGGGUGAGUAAUACAUCGGAACGUGCCCAGGAGUGGGGGAUAG
Molecule: ribosomal RNA, 120 nt
Filed under: uncultured bacterium
Lineage: Bacteria
Description: partial 16S ribosomal RNA
Rfam family: Bacterial small subunit ribosomal RNA
Source: RNAcentral